This is a non-coding RNA of Physcomitrium patens, 1226 nucleotides long. Lineage: Eukaryota; Viridiplantae; Streptophyta; Bryopsida; Funariales; Funariaceae. The record is from RefSeq and is a predicted model, not a curated record.
UGAAUGGCGAAGCUAUGUCAAAUCUUGACCUAAAAUCCUAAUUCCAAUUUCAUUUUGGAUCCUAAUGCUCAUUGGGCACCUUGAGAAUGUGUGAUCAUUGAUUUUGUGUUGUGGGUGGUGCUUACUGUGGUUUAGAAGUGAAGGGUGGUAAGCUGCCGUGGCGGUCUCAGUUAUUCAACUUUGAAGGAGCAUUGCGCAUGCCUCAGGUAUUGGAUUGCCACACAGAUUCUUGGAACAGGAGCGUCUUCAAGUUAGGUUUCUAACCAAGCAAAAAUCAUCAGAAUUAAAGCUGAUACAAAUGGUUGGCAAAUUUUGGAGUAGAAGGGAGUUGCUGCCCUAAAUUCUUAGUCGUUAUCAAGGUGCCCUCUCUUCAUCCCUCUUAGUUUUUAUUUACAGCAACUCGUAACUUCCAUAAUAACUUGGUGUUUUAACAAUAACAAGUAAUGAUUGGAUUAAAAUUUGAAUAAUGGUCUUACUUUUAAAUUCACCUAGUCAAGUCACUUUUUAUGAAGUAAAACAAACGUCCAACUAGUGGAGGUUUAUUUGGGUUCAUAGCAUUAUUGUGAUUUUUUUUUAGAGGUGUAUUGGUUGGUUGUUGUAUUACUCUAGAAUUUUAGAUUCUAUUAUUGUGGAUGAUCAAACUAGUCUUAAUGAUUUUGGUGAGCUCCUAAUAUACACUACUUCUUCCAACUUCCAUUUAACAAGUUUAAGAUUUUAUAAUUCGUGUGUCUACAAUAGAUUUUACUUCCUUAUUUAUUACUUAUUUUACUUGUCUUUUUUUCUUAUGUAUCUUGGAAUCAAGAUGGUCCUUUGUUAAUUACUUGCAAGAUGAAUCUUUAAAGAUUGCAUCUCUUAGUUGUAUUUUCUAAAAAAUUUUAUGCAGAGUAUUGAAAAAAAUACCUUGAUAUUUAUGCUUCUUAAGCAAAUUAUAAGCAUAAUGUGACAAGAUAUAAUGGAGCUGUUUCUAUAAGUUUUUUGUCACAAAUAGAAGCCAAUCGUAUCUACAAAAUUAAUAUAUUUUCAAGUUUAGUGGCUUGUAAGAUUUAGUAGCUUGUGCCAAUUUUUAAACUUGAUGAUGGAUAAAGCUUUUAUAAAUAUCUUAGUAGGUUUUUAAUGUGUUGGUAUAUAUGAAACUUCAAUUUUCUUCUUUUUUAUCAUGUCUUAGACAUAGUUUAAGUGAAUCUCAAAGUACUUUGUUUUAAAAUUAUACAUGGAAUUUUUGGCUA